CGGCGUGCCUAAUACAUGCAAGUCGUGCGGACCUUUUAAAAGCUUGCUUUUAAAAGGUUAGCGGCGGACGGGUGAGUAACACGUGGGCAACCUGCCUGUAAGACUGGGAUAACGCCGGGAAACCGGGGCUAAUACCGGAUAGUUUUUUCCUCCGCAUGGAGGAAAAAGGAAAGGCGGCUUCGGCUGCCACUUACAGAUGGGCCCGCGGCGCAUUAGCUAGUUGGCGGGGUAACGGCCCACCAAGGCAACGAUGCGUAGCCGACCUGAGAGGGUGAUCGGCCACAUUGGGACUGAGACACGGCCCAAACUCCUACGGGAGGCAGCAGUAGGGAAUCUUCCGCAAUGGACGAAAGUCUGACGGAGCAACGCCGCGUGAGUGAAGAAGGCCUUCGGGUCGUAAAACUCUGUUGCCGGGGAAGAACAAGUGCCGUUCGAACAGGGCGGCGCCUUGACGGUACCCGGCCAGAAAGCCACGGCUAACUACGUGCCAGCAGCCGCGGUAAUACGUAGGUGGCAAGCGUUGUCCGGAAUUAUUGGGCGUAAAGCGCGCGCAGGCGGCUUCUUAAGUCUGAUGUGAAAUCUUGCGGCUCAACCGCAAGCGGUCAUUGGAAACUGGGAGGCUUGAGUGCAGAAGAGGAGAGUGGAAUUCCACGUGUAGCGGUGAAAUGCGUAGAGAUGUGGAGGAACACCAGUGGCGAAGGCGGCUCUCUGGUCUGUAACUGACGCUGAGGCGCGAAAGCGUGGGGAGCAAACAGGAUUAGAUACCCUGGUAGUCCACGCCGUAAACGAUGAGUGCUAAGUGUUAGAGGGUUUCCGCCCUUUAGUGCUGCAGCUAACGCAUUAAGCACUCCGCCUGGGGAGUACGGCCGCAAGGCUGAAACUCAAAGGAAUUGACGGGGGCCCGCACAAGCGGUGGAGCAUGUGGUUUAAUUCGAAGCAACGCGAAGAACCUUACCAGGUCUUGACAUCCUCUGACCUCCCUGGAGACAGGGCCUUCCCCUUCGGGGGACAGAGUGACAGGUGGUGCAUGGUUGUCGUCAGCUCGUGUCGUGAGAUGUUGGGUUAAGUCCCGCAACGAGCGCAACCCUUGACCUUAGUUGCCAGCAUUCAGUUGGGCACUCUAAGGUGACUGCCGGUGACAAACCGGAGGAAGGUGGGGAUGACGUCAAAUCAUCAUGCCCCUUAUGACCUGGGCUACACACGUGCUACAAUGGAUGGUACAAAGGGCUGCGAGACCGCGAGGUUAANCCAAUCCCAGAAAACCAUUCCCAGUUCGGAUUGCAGGCUGCAACCCGCCUGCAUGAAGCCGGAAUCGCUAGUAAUCGCGGAUCAGCAUGCCGCGGUGAAUACGUUCCCGGGCCUU
RNAcentral lists this ribosomal RNA (1363 nucleotides) under Heyndrickxia coagulans. RNAcentral's name for it is "bacterial SSU rRNA". It matches the Rfam family "Bacterial small subunit ribosomal RNA", at positions 40 to 1382 of the family's 1533-position model. Lineage: Bacteria; Bacillati; Bacillota; Bacilli; Caryophanales; Bacillaceae. The record is from RNAcentral.